GAGUGGCGAACGGGUGAGUAACACGUGGGUAACCUGCCCAGAAGUAGGGGAUAACACCUGGAAACAGAUGCUAAUACCGUAUAAUAGAGAAAACCGCAUGGUUUUCUUUUGAAAGAUGGCUCUGCUAUCACUUCUGGAUGGACCCGCGGCGCAUUAGCUAGUUGGUGAGGUAACGGCUCACCAAGGCAGUGAUGCGUAGCCGACCUGAGAGGGUAAUCGGCCACAUUGGGACUGAGACACGGCCCAGACUCCUACGGGAGGCAGCAGUAGGGAAUCUUCCACAAUGGACGAAAGUCUGAUGGAGCAACGCCGCGUGAGUGAAGAAGGGUUUCGGCUCGUAAAGCUCUGUUGUUAAAGAAGAACGUGGGUGAGAGUAACUGUUCACCCAGUGACGGUAUUUAACCAGAAAGCCACGGCUAACUACGUGCCAGCAGCCGCGGUAAUACGUAGGUGGCAAGCGUUAUCCGGAUUUAUUGGGCGUAAAGCGAGCGCAGGCGGUCUUUUAAGUCUAAUGUGAAAGCCUUCGGCUCAACCGAAGAAGUGCAUUGGAAACUGGGAGACUUGAGUGCAGAAGAGGACAGUGGAACUCCAUGUGUAGCGGUGAAAUGCGUAGAUAUAUGGAAGAACACCAGUGGCGAAGGCGGCUGUCUGGUCUGUAACUGACGCUGAGGCUCGAAAGCAUGGGUAGCGAACAGGAUUAGAUACCCUGGUAGUCCAUGCCGUAAACGAUGAUUACUAAGUGUUGGAGGGUUUCCGCCCUUCAGUGCUGCAGCUAACGCAUUAAGUAAUCCGCCUGGGGAGUACGACCGCAAGGUUGAAACUCAAAAGAAUUGACGGGGGCCCGCACAAGCGGUGGAGCAUGUGGUUUAAUUCGAAGCUACGCGAAGAACCUUACCAGGUCUUGACAUCUUCUGACAGUCUAAGAGAUUAGAGGUUCCCUUCGGGGACAGAAUGACAGGUGGUGCAUGGUUGUCGUCAGCUCGUGUCGUGAGAUGUUGGGUUAAGUCCCGCAACGAGCGCAACCCUUAUUACUAGUUGCCAGCAUUAAGUUGGGCACUCUAGUGAGACUGCCGGUGACAAACCGGAGGAAGGUGGGGACGACGUCAAAUCAUCAUGCCCCUUAUGACCUGGGCUACACACGUGCUACAAUGGAUGGUACAACGAGUCGCGAGACCGCGAGGUUAAGCUAAUCUCUUAAAACCAUUCUCAGUUCGGACUGUAGGCUGCAACUCGCCUACACGAAGUCGGAAUCGCUAGUAAUCGCGGAUCAGCAUGCCGCGGUGAAUACGUUCCCGGGCCUUGUACACACCGCCCGUCACACCAUGAGAGUUUGUAACACCCAAAGCCGGUGGGGUAACCUUUUAGGAGCUAGCCGUCUAAGGUGG
Molecule: ribosomal RNA, 1385 nt
Filed under: uncultured bacterium
Lineage: Bacteria
Description: 16S ribosomal RNA
Rfam family: Bacterial small subunit ribosomal RNA
Source: RNAcentral